GACCAGACUCCUACGGGAGGCAGCAGUGGGGAAUAUUGCACAAUGGGGGAAACCCUGAUGCAGCGACGCCGCGCGAGCGAUGAAGUAUUUCGGUAUGUAAAGCUCUAUCAGCAGGGAAGAAAAUGACGGUACCUGACUAAGAAGCCCCGGCUAACUACGUGCCAGCAGCCGCGGUAAUACGUAGGGGGCAAGCGUUAUCCGGAUUUACUGGGUGUAAAGGGAGCGUAGACGGCGGCGCAAGCCAGAUGUGAAAGCCCGGGGCUCAACCCCGGGACUGCAUUUGGAACUGUGCCGCCAGAGUGUCGGAGAGGCAGGCGGAAUUCCUAGUGUAGCGGUGAAAUGCGUAGAUAUUAGGAGGAACACCAGUGGCGAAGGCGGCCUGCUGGACGAUGACUGACGUUGAGGCUCGAAAGCGUGGGGAGCAAACAGGAUUAGAUACCCGCGUA
Molecule: ribosomal RNA, 446 nt
Filed under: uncultured bacterium
Lineage: Bacteria
Description: partial 16S ribosomal RNA
Rfam family: Bacterial small subunit ribosomal RNA
Source: RNAcentral